GGCCGAGUGGCGAAAUUGGCAGACGCACAGGACUUAAAAUCCUGUUGGGAGUAAUCCCAGUGCGGGUUCGAUCCCCGCCUCGGCUA
This 86-nucleotide transfer RNA is filed under the name Planctomycetota bacterium. Its description in RNAcentral is "Planctomycetes bacterium tRNA-Leu". It matches the Rfam family "tRNA". From Rfam's summary of the family: Transfer RNA (tRNA) molecules are approximately 80 nucleotides in length. Their secondary structure includes four short double-helical elements and three loops (D, anti-codon, and T loops). Lineage: Bacteria; Pseudomonadati; Planctomycetota. The record is from RNAcentral.